UACGUAGGCAGCAAGCGUUGUUCGGAAUUACUGGGCGUAAAGAGUGUGUAGGCGGUGCUCCAAGUCUGGUGUGAAAUCUCCCGGCUUAACUGGGAGGGUGCAUUAGAAACUGGAAUGCUAGAGGAUGGGAGAGGUAAGCGGAAUUCCUGGUGUAGCGGUGAAAUGCGUAGAUAUCAGGAGGAACACCUGUGGUGUAGACAGCUUACUGGACCAUUUCUGACGCUGAGAUACGAAAGCGUGGGUAGCAAACAGG
Molecule: ribosomal RNA, 253 nt
Filed under: uncultured bacterium
Lineage: Bacteria
Description: partial 16S ribosomal RNA
Rfam family: Bacterial small subunit ribosomal RNA
Source: RNAcentral